RNAcentral lists this transfer RNA (70 nucleotides) under Allobates carajas. Its description in RNAcentral is "tRNA-Ile". Lineage: Eukaryota; Metazoa; Chordata; Amphibia; Anura; Aromobatidae. The record is from RNAcentral.
GGAAUCGUGCCUGAAAGUUAAGGACCUCCUUGAUAGGGAGAACCAUAGGGAUUCAAAUUCCCUCGCUUCC